GUGAGUGGAGAAAUUUGUUAAACAACUACAUUUUCGCCACAAUUUUCGUCAAAAUUUGUUUAUCUCAUUGAGUAUUUAUCUAAUGUUAAUUUGACAAUAGGCAUUUAAUAAAAAUCUCACGUUAAUGUAAUUGAUGAAGGGAGAUUGAUUAUGUUUAGAUUUUCAAUUCCGGUCAUAAAUAAAAUCAUAAACAAGAAAACAUGAAUCAAUCCAUUGGUUUGUGGUUUGACUGGGAUCUUU
RNAcentral lists this long non-coding RNA (240 nucleotides) under Lathyrus oleraceus (garden pea). RNAcentral's name for it is "Pisum sativum (pea) long non-coding RNA (PSAT_LNC000438)". Lineage: Eukaryota; Viridiplantae; Streptophyta; Magnoliopsida; Fabales; Fabaceae. The record is from RNAcentral.